Molecule: ribosomal RNA, 301 nt
Filed under: uncultured bacterium
Lineage: Bacteria
Description: partial 16S ribosomal RNA
Rfam family: Bacterial small subunit ribosomal RNA
Source: RNAcentral
CAGCCGCCGCGGGAAUACGUAGGCCCCGAGCGUUGUCCGGAUUUAUUGGGCGUAAAGCGAGCGCAGGCGGUUAGAAAAGUCUGAAGUGAAAGGCAGUGGCUCAACCAUUGUAGGCUUUGGAAACUGUUUAACUUGAGUGCAGAAGGGGAGAGUGGAAUUCCAUGUGUAGCGGUGAAAUGCGUAGAUAUAUGGAGGAACACCGGUGGCGAAAGCGGCUCUCUGGUCUGUAACUGACGCUGAGGCUCGAAAGCGUGGGGAGCGAACAGGAUUAGAUACCCCGGUAGUCCCUGUCUCUUAUACA